This 795-nucleotide long non-coding RNA is filed under the name Medicago truncatula (barrel medic). RNAcentral describes it as "long non-coding RNA (MTRU_LNC000469)". The record is from RNAcentral. Lineage: Eukaryota; Viridiplantae; Streptophyta; Magnoliopsida; Fabales; Fabaceae.
AAAGAAACAACAUUUCUCUAGGAAUUCCAAUCAUCGGUCACCAAAUCCUUUCUGAAGUGUGUCGUUCAUAAAAACCCGACCUGCUAGCACUGAAGUUGUAUUUUACCUGUUGCACGUUACCCUAGAAAAAGAAUGUGGCACGAUGUCCCUGGUUCCCUAUCUCACUAUCCAGGCCACUCCUCCCCUACAAUAAUGAAGGCAAAAAUUGAAGAACAAAUUUUUGUUGAGAACAUAAUAGGAAAGAAAUGAAGGAUAUAAUAGAAACAAUGGAUAAAUAUAAAAUCACUAAAGAAUUGUUUAUUGCACUGAAACUGAAAUCAAAAGAAAAAUGCAUGCACCAUGGAACAUUCAGGAAAUCGCUAUUGGUGGGUUAUUUCUUCAUGACAGGAGAACAAUAUUAAAUAUGUGCUUAUAAAUUACUGUAAUUAGCAAUAUAAGAGAUGUCCAUUUGAGUUAGCAACAUGAUCAUAAGAAAGGAUCAAGUAUUCCAUUGAAUUUAAACAUGACAUACCAAAAAGUGAUGGAGAAGUUAGAAGCAAACAGUGUCAUUGAGGGGCCUUUCUCUGAACAAUUGUUUAAUAAAUUGUGUAGAACUAAACCAUUCAAUUGUGAAAAAUAGAAUGGAAGCAGUUGUUUUUUUAUGAUUGUUUCUGCAACUGUGAGAAAGAGAAAGGUAGCAAUUAUGUAUUUGUGAGUGUGAUUAGUGGGUAAGCCAGAUUUUUUUCAAAGAAAAAUACAGCAGUUAUGUUUUGGUGUGUGAUUAGUGGGUAAAGCAGAUUUUUUUUUUAAUAACUG